This is a long non-coding RNA of Solanum dulcamara, 445 nucleotides long. RefSeq lists it as uncharacterized. The record is from RefSeq and is a predicted model, not a curated record. The transcript is spliced from 2 exons. Lineage: Eukaryota; Viridiplantae; Streptophyta; Magnoliopsida; Solanales; Solanaceae.
AGCCUUACGCAAUAUGCAAUGUCUUCAUUAUACAUUCUACAAUAAAAAUGAGGUAACUGUCAAUUGUUCCCCUUGUCUCAUGUCGACAAACGCCAUAACUAUCAUUGAUGAUGGUAAAAUAUCACAAUCAAUCACAACGUACACGCCAUUGAAAGUUGUAAUUUUACAGGGGUUGAGAUUGAAGAUCAUAUUCGUCCACGUGGCUAAUUAAGCUUUCCUAUCGACGGUGUUUGUGGUGAGUCCUCAUUUAUCGGGGACUAGUCAUCGAGUUGGCUAUUAUUUUCAAAGACUUUUGUUAUGGGUCAUAUAUAGGGUGAGAUAGGGACAUGUCUUAGCCUCCGCCAAUGUUCAUGAGUAGAGGCAUCUAGUUGGACAAAUGUUUCAAGUCUAUGUUGUCAUGUGACAUUCUUCAUAUGCUAUUCAUGGUUUAGACUUUCUUAUGAUA